GCCUAAAAUCUAGCCCUACUCCACCCGCAUGAACACCUUAACCCUAUGCCCUUCAAACAAAACAUUUUAACAUUUUAGUACAGGCGAUCAAAAAAUUUCUAGGCGCUUCAGAUACAGUACCGCAAGGGAAUGAUGAAAUAAUAAUGAAAUAACUUUAAAGCCCAAUACAGCAGAGACUCACCCUCGUACCUUUUGCAUCAUGGUCUAGCUAGUCCAACCAAGCAAAAAGAAACUUUUAGUUUGACUCCCCGAAACUAAACGAGCUACUUCAAAACAGCCCAAAGGGGCCAACCCGUCUCUGUUGCAAAAGAGUGGGAAGAUUUUUAAGUAGAGGUGAAAAGCCUACCGAGCUUAGAGAUAGCUGGUUGUUCAGGAAAAGAGUUUAAGCUCUACCUUAAGUUUUUACCGUUACCCCAAACACAACCUUAAACUUAAGAGCUAUUCAAAUAAGGCACAGCUUAUUUGAAGCAGGGUACAACCUCAGACACCGGGUAAAUAUGGGUGCACCCAAGUAAAGUGGGCCUAAAAGCAGCCACCUUCUAAAAAGCGUUAAAGCUUAACCACAAGCUUCCCUUAAUUCCUUAAAUUUAUUUUAACCCUUAAUCACUACUGAACUGUUUUAUAUUAAUAUAAAAGUUAUUAUGCUAGAACUAGUAAUAAGAAAUUGCCUUUCUCCUAAUGCAAGCAUAAACCAAAAUGGACCUACCAUUGGUAGUUAACGUAAAUGUCUCUAUUAUAGCAACACUCAACUAGAAAACCCUAUAAUCACUAACGUUAGCCUAACACCAGCGCAUUUCAGGAAAGAUUAAAAGAGAAAGAAGGAACUCGGCAAACCUUAGCCCCGCCUGUUUACCAAAAACAUCGCCUCUUGAUUAAACAUAAGAGGUCCAGCCUGCCCAGUGACAUAGUUUAACGGCCGCGGUACCCUAACCGUGCGAAGGUAGCAUAAUCACUUGUUCUUUAAAUAGGGACUCGUAUCAACGGCAUCACGAGGGCUAUACUGUCUCCUUUCUCCAAUCAAUGAAACUGAUCUCCCCGUGAAGAAGCGGGGAUUAACCUAUAAGACGAGAAGACCCCAUGGAGCUUCAAACUCAACAUAUACCUCUACGCACUUAAACCACUUUAGCCCAAGAGACCUCUAUGUUAGUUUUGGGUUGGGGGGACCGCGGAGUAAAAAUUAACCUCCACGACAAACGGGCUUUAUGCCCUUAUCCACGAACCACAGCUCUAAGAAUCAAUAAACUGAUGUUUAUGACCCGAUUAUUCGAUCAACGAACCAAGUUACCCUGGGGAUAACAGCGCAAUCUACUUCAAGAGCCCCUAUCGACAAGUAGGUUUACGACCUCGAUGUUGGAUCAGGGUAUCCUAGUGGUGCAGCCGCUACUAAUGGUUCGUUUGUUCAACGAUUAAAACCCUACGUGAUCUGAGUUCAGACCGGAGCAAUCCAGGUCGGUUUCUAUCUAUAAAGCGUUUCCCCUAGUACGAAAGGAUCGGGGCAACAUGGCCAAUGUAAAAACAAGCCAUACUCUUCACUAAUGAAUUUAUCUCAAUUAGUUCGGACCUAACACUGCACCGCAGACCAAGGUA
RNAcentral lists this ribosomal RNA (1587 nucleotides) under Pelophylax chosenicus (Seoul frog). RNAcentral's name for it is "16S ribosomal RNA". It matches the Rfam family "Bacterial large subunit ribosomal RNA", at positions 267 to 2836 of the family's 2925-position model. The record is from RNAcentral. Lineage: Eukaryota; Metazoa; Chordata; Amphibia; Anura; Ranidae.